Molecule: ribosomal RNA, 499 nt
Filed under: uncultured bacterium
Lineage: Bacteria
Description: partial 16S ribosomal RNA
Rfam family: Bacterial small subunit ribosomal RNA
Source: RNAcentral
GAUGAACGAUGGCGGCGUGCUUAACACAUGCAAGUCGAGCGAGAUAAAUGUGAGUGGAGACUUCGGUCAAAGCAAUCAUUUUGAAAGCGGCGGACGGGUGAGUAACGCGUGAGCAAUCUGCCCCAUACAAAGGGAUACCCACUGGAAACGGUGAUUAAUACCUUAUAAGACCACGAAGUCGCCUGGCUUAGUGGCCAAAGAUUUAUCGGUAUGGGAUGAGCUCGCGUCUGAUUAGCUAGUUGGUGAGGUAAUGGCUCACCAAGGCGACGAUCAGUAGCCGACCUGAGAGGGUGAACGGCCACACUGGAACUGAGACACGGUCCAGACUCCUACGGGAGGCAGCAGUGGGGAAUAUUGCACAAUGGGCGCAAGCCUGAUGCAGCAACGCCGCGUGAAUGAUGAAGGCCUUCGGGUCGUAAAGUUCUAUCCUAAGGGAAGAAUACAGUGACGGUACCUUAGGAGGAAGCCCCGGCUAACUACGUGCCAGCAGCCGCAGUAA